This 73-nucleotide transfer RNA is filed under the name Enterococcus dongliensis. RNAcentral describes it as "tRNA-Ile". It matches the Rfam family "tRNA". From Rfam's summary of the family: Transfer RNA (tRNA) molecules are approximately 80 nucleotides in length. Lineage: Bacteria; Bacillati; Bacillota; Bacilli; Lactobacillales; Enterococcaceae. The record is from RNAcentral.
UGACGUGUAGCUCAGUUGGUAGAGCGCAGCACUGAUGAUGCUGAGGUCGUAGGUUCGAGCCCUACUGCGUCAA